AUUGAACGCUAGCGGGAUGCCUUACACAUGCAAGUCGAACGGCAGCGCGGACUUCGGUCUGGCGGCGAGUGGCGAACGGGUGAGUAAUGUAUCGGAACGUGCCCAGUAGCGGGGGAUAACUACUCGAAAGAGUAGCUAAUACCGCAUACGCCCUACGGGGGAAAGGGGGGGAUCGCAAGACCUCUCAAUAUUGGAGCGGCCGAUAGGGGAUUAGCGAGUUGGUGAGGUAAAGGCUCACCAAGGCGACGAUCCGUAGCUGGUUUGAGAGGACGACCAGCCAGACUGGGACUGAGACACGGCCCAGACUCCUACGGGAGGCAGCAGUGGGGAAUUUUGGACAAUGGGGGAAACCCUGAGCCAGCCAUUCCGCGUGUGCGAUGAAGGCCUUCGGGUUGUAAAGCACUUUUGGCAGGAAAGAAAUCGCAUCAAUUAAUACUUGGUGUGGAUGACGGUACCUGCAGAAUAAGCACCGGCUAACUACGUGCCAGCAGCCGCCGUAA
RNAcentral lists this ribosomal RNA (500 nucleotides) under uncultured bacterium. RNAcentral describes it as "partial 16S ribosomal RNA". It matches the Rfam family "Bacterial small subunit ribosomal RNA", at positions 29 to 523 of the family's 1533-position model. The record is from RNAcentral.